Molecule: ribosomal RNA, 757 nt
Filed under: Thermoactinomyces sp. CICC 10735
Lineage: Bacteria; Bacillati; Bacillota; Bacilli; Caryophanales; Thermoactinomycetaceae
Description: partial 23S ribosomal RNA
Rfam family: Bacterial large subunit ribosomal RNA
Source: RNAcentral
GUCCUCCGGGAGUCAGACUACGAGUGCUAAGAUCCGUGGUCAAGAGGGAAACAGCCCAGACCGCCAGCUAAGGUCCCAAAGUAACCGUUAAGUGGCAAAGGAUGUGGAGUUGCCCAGACAACCAGGAUGUUGGCUUAGAAGCAGCCAUCAUUCAAAGAGUGCGUAAUAGCUCACUGGUCAAGUGACUCUGCGCCGAAAAUGUAACGGGGCUAAACGGUUCACCGAAGCUGCGGAUGUCCUUCGGACAUGGUAGGGGAGCGUUCCAAACAGCAGCGAAGCUGCUUCGUGAGAAGCGGUGGAGCGUUUGGAAGUGAGAAUGCCGGUAUGAGUAGCGAAAAGAAGGGUGAGAAUCCCUUCCACCGAAAGCCUAAGGUUUCCUGAGGAAGGUUCGUCCGCUCAGGGUUAGUCGGGACCUAAGCCGAGGCCGAAAGGCGUAGGCGAUGGACAACAGGUUGAGAUUCCUGUACCACCUUGUUCCGUUGACGACGGGGGGACGCAGGAGGGUAGAGAAUCGCGCGACUGGUUGUGCGCGUCCAAGCAGUGAGGCUGAAGAGACAGGCAAAUCCGUCUCUUCUUAAGGCCAGGCUGUGAUGGCGAGGGAAGUUUCAGUACCGAAGUUCUUGAUCUCACACUGCCAAGAAAAGCCUCUAAGGAGGAACAAGGUGCCCGUACCGCAAACCGACACAGGUAGGCGAGGAGAGAAUCCUAAGGUGCUCGGGAGAACUCUCGUUAAGGAACUCGGCAAAAUGACCCCGUA